RNAcentral lists this ribosomal RNA (841 nucleotides) under Massariosphaeria phaeospora. RNAcentral describes it as "eukaryotic LSU rRNA". It matches the Rfam family "Eukaryotic large subunit ribosomal RNA", at positions 74 to 930 of the family's 3401-position model. The record is from RNAcentral. Lineage: Eukaryota; Fungi; Ascomycota; Dothideomycetes; Pleosporales.
AUUGCCUUAGUAACGGCGAGUGAAGCGGCAAUAGCUCAAAUUUGAAAUCUGGCUCUUUUAGAGUCCGAGUUGUAAUUUGUAGAGGGUGCUUUGGUGUUGAAGGCGGUCCAAGUUCCUUGGAACAGGACGUCACAGAGGGUGAGAAUCCCGUACGUGGUCGCCAAUCUUCACCAUGUAAAGCCCCUUCGACGAGUCGAGUUGUUUGGGAAUGCAGCUCUAAAUGGGAGGUAAAUUUCUUCUAAAGCUAAAUACUGGCCAGAGACCGAUAGCGCACAAGUAGAGUGAUCGAAAGAUGAAAAGCACUUUGGAAAGAGAGUCAAAAAGCACGUGAAAUUGUUGAAAGGGAAGCGCUUGCAGCCAGACUUGCCUGUAGUUGCUCACCUGUGUUUUUACGCGGGGUACUCUUCUAUAGGCAGGCCAGCAUCAGUUUGGGCGGCUGGAUAAAGAUCUCUGGAACGUUCCUUCCUUCGGGUUGGCCUUAUAUGGGAGAUGUCAUGCAGCCAGCUUGAACUGAGGUCCGCGCAUUCGCUAGGAUGCUGGCGUAAUGGCUGUAAGCGGCCCGUCUUGAAACACGGACCAAGGAGUCUAACAUCUAUGCGAGUGUUUGGGUGUCAAGCCCGGACGCGUAAUGAAAGUGAACGGAGGUGGGAACCUUGUAAAGAGGUGCACCAUCGACCGAUCCUGAUGUCUUCGGAUGGAUUUGAGUAAGAGCAUAGCUGUUGGGACCCGAAAGAUGGUGAACUAUGCUUGAAUAGGGUGAAGCCAGAGGAAACUCUGGUGGAAGCUCGCAGCGGUUCUGACGUGCAAAUCGAUCGUCAAAUUUGGGCAUAGGGGCGAAAGA